GUGAGUGUGCGUGGCUGGGUGUGGCCUCGUUUGCCGGUUGUUUGUGGCGUGCGAGCGAGCGCGCGUGUGGCUUCGUCACCUUUCUCUCCUCGCCUGUCUUUUCGGACCUUUCGGUUUUUUCUUAAGUGGUCGUGUUUCCCCUUUCCUCUCUCUCUCCGCUCCGCUCCGAUCCCAAAGCAGGUUAAGGCGGUACCUAAGGCCACUGCGCACCCCGGCGAGGAGGAGGUGGAGGAGGAGGCGGCGGCGGCGCUCCGCGGACGUCAGGGCGAUGCUAGACAUGUACCCCAAGCUGCUGCGCCUGCGGCCGCCCCUGCUCCACCUCCGCGCGCCCCGCCUCCGGAUGUUGACGGGGAAAACGCCGCUCCUGAAGCUGAAGCAGCCCGAGACGACGGUGUAGCUGCUGCUCGUGCGGCAGCUCCGGUUCUCGCCCCAUACGGGGUAGACACGAUGUUCCCAACCCCACCUGAACUAUCCGGUGAACUGUUACGUCGUACCUUCAAUGAAGUUCUACGUUGCGUCCGCGUCUCAGGCUUUUCAUAGAAGGCCCAGGGUAAGAAACGACAGAAACAACUCUUUCCUAAAUUCUCUGCCGUCAAACGUCAGGAAAGAACCACCUAGUAGGAUACAUAGAUUAGGAGGGCGACGUCGGGGACUAGGUAAAAACGUUAGAAAUUAAACAUCAAACGGACACCGACUUGGUAGCUUUCUAAAAGCAAGGCUGAGUAGACUGUUUUGUAAAAACGAUUUAUUUAAGGGUCUACUUUUCCAGCAUCUCUCCAUACAGUGGAGUUCGAAACAAGAAAGACGACGGAGUGAGGCGAGGAAGAAACGGUGCUAUGAUGAUAGAGACGAGUCACCUACUAUCUAAAGGUGUAAGAUGUAACACGCGACAGGAACACGUAUCGGUCAUGGCGAAAAAUACGGGAGAUUCGUACGUAUUUUACCGUUUCGGAACUACGGUUAAUCAAAAACAGUAACAAUAGUUAACAUAUCAUGUAACAGACAAUACCAAUGCACCAACGGAAAAACUGCAUAAUGAACAGGGAAAAUGCGACAAUCAUACUCGUACUAAAUAAGAAAUUAGACGAACCGUAGUAAACUAAAACUUCUAUAAACAGGUUCUUUUGUGAUCGAAAUUGAAUUAGUACACGGCAUAUAGUAUUAUCAGAUGGGUAGGCAUACAAAGUAUGACUACUAAUUACAAUACACGGAAUACCAAAAACUACUAAACAACGAGUAGUCUUAAAAAUUUAGUAAAGAGUCAUGGUUUACAUCCGUUCAACAUGGAAAACUCAAAACUUUACAUACAAAACGACAUCAAAUUAUCAAGAACAAUAGUUUAUAAACUAACUUACAGACACCACUUAAAUGUCUCGACUUUGUAGAGACAGGCUCUUCCUAGUCUUCCUCUCCCGAGUCUCCUCACGUAAACGGGCACCCGAACACGAAAGGUGUUAUAAACUACUACUAUGGUACAUUCCCUCUAGCUGAAACUAUCACCAACGUACUGUAUCAGGUCCCGCGAGUCGUGUUCUCUUAAAUAGAUCUCGCGACGUUGGAACAAGUACGUCGGUGACGGCGAGUGUCCGCAAUUGCUGGUUGGCCUCCAGGUAGGUCAAUACUUACAUAUACAUAAAUACAUACGGAACGGCUCUCGCGUAGUACUCUUAUCACCUCCUUCCGGAACACAACGUCGAAAGGUGUACCUUAUUUACCCCUAUGAUAGGAAUCACCGUAACACGUAUAUGUUUUCUCCCCGCUCGAUGAGCAGUACAUAAUCUAAUAUAAGACAAAGUAGUUACAUUAUUCACACAACAUUUGAGUAGAGUAGGAAUCAUACACUCUAACGAAACUACGAAAGACAUAUAUAAGCUAACACCAUGUAAACUGUAAACUCCUUUCCCUUACCUCACUUAAAUUGUAAAGAACGACAAAGUCUACAUUUGACUUUACUUUAUCUAACCGG
RNAcentral lists this ribosomal RNA (1966 nucleotides) under Triticum aestivum (bread wheat). RNAcentral's name for it is "partial small subunit ribosomal RNA". Lineage: Eukaryota; Viridiplantae; Streptophyta; Magnoliopsida; Poales; Poaceae. The record is from RNAcentral.